This is a non-coding RNA of Oryctolagus cuniculus (rabbit), 2259 nucleotides long. NCBI's taxonomy places the organism in Eukaryota, Metazoa, Chordata, Mammalia, Lagomorpha, Leporidae. The record is from RefSeq and is a predicted model, not a curated record.
UUUGUACCUAAUUCGAGCUGCUUUGAUGCAGCAGCCCCGCUCCUAUGAAAAGUUUCCUUCUCUGCGGCAGAACUGUGGGUGUGGCCACCCCGGUGUUUCUCCACCGAGCCGGGUGCUUUUCAGGCCCGGGGCCAGAGCACCCAACUGUCUCUUUCCGGUUGUUGGUGUUACCUGCCACAGGGUGCCAGGCCAUGCCAACCUGGUCUGCAUUUCUUGAUGCAACGUGGGAUGCAGGUAUGAUGCCUGGAACUCAUGCAGCUCCCCUGCAACCGUGAGGCUGAGGCUAAGAGAGGAGGAGACACUGCAGCUCUAAGAGUGAAAGGCAACCCCGGCAGCCUCCUGCCUCCAGGCUUCUGAUCAUGGGGAAAAACAGUGUCCUGUUUGUUCCAGCCUCUGAUGGAGAGAGAGAACUCCAGUCCACAAUGACUGAGACUGGCCCAUCAGGAACCAGGAACUGAGUCCGGAUCUCCCACACGCGUAGCAGGAACCCACUCAUUUAAGCCAUCACGACUGCCUCCCAGAGUCUGCACUGGUGAGAAGUUGGAAUCAGAAGCUGGAGCCAAGUAUCAAACACAGGCACUCCAUCAUUGUGGGAUGCGGGCUUCUUAGCUGGACCAUGAAGAUGAAGAAAAAGUGUCAACAUUUGAAAGAUGAGGUAUGGUUUUGGCUCCUCUUGCAAUUGUUGCUACAUGAAGUCAAACAUCUCUGGUUUAGACACUCCUGGACUCUGGUCUUCAUUUGUCAUUGAUGGCUCAUUGUAUGUACAGACAAAAGGGAGUGGGAGCAACGUUCUUAACCAAUUACAACUCAGUUUUUAAUUCUAUUUCUUCUCCCUACUUUAAUGCCUGUGUGUACUUUCAACUCCUUGAAUAAAUUGUGAUCAUGAUAAGCUGCAUGUAUAAAGUUAGAAAAUUAUUUGUGUCCCUUGCAAUGAAAUUCAGAGGCUUAAUCCAGGAGGAUGUGUAGCCACACACCAUUUCAGCUACUGGUAUUUCUUCCAUCUCUCUGGUUUGCACUCGCUGGACCAUGGCCCUCAUGGUCCUCUAUCAAAGAUGGAAGCUGAGUUCUGCUGAAUCUGGUAUAACAUAUCAUAUCAUAACAUUAUCUGGGCAUAUCACAUCAUGUGAUAGAAGAGCUGUAGGAAGGAAGAGAAAUCCAAAGAAUUCCCUUCUAAUGAGACUUCCUGGAGGAAUCACACAGCACUUCUGUUCACCACUCAUUGGCUAGGACUUAGUCACAUGACCAUCCCUCUCUGAAGGGAGGCUGGGAAGUGUAGUCUUUUGUUUGAGUUCUAUUAGCGCAGAGGAAGGGGGGAAUGAUUACUGGACGUCAGUGUGAAGUCCCUGCCAUGCUUAUGAAUACCUUCAACAUAAAAUUCUCUACGGAUGCACUUGUCCUAUGUUCCACACUGUUAGAUAUGGCUGCACAUAAAAUAAUAAACACGAUGAAUGUUGGAUAUGCACUGCUAUGAUGAAACAGGACACAAGCCCUUUGGAGGCUCCCUGGAAUGAGUAUCAUGGCUCCACUGAAUCCUGAGCGGUUUAACUCUCCUCCACUUCAAUCCUCUUUGGAUGCCCAUCACUGCCUUUGCACUGUAGAGUAGGUGGGUUAUUUUAUUGCUCCUUUGCUUUGUCAGGUAACUGUAGUGAUCUCACCGAACAUGACUCACCACAGGGGAGCCAACUUGGGCAAAAGAUCAGAUGCAAAUUGAUGGCAAUCUUUCUUGCUCACUUUUCUGGUCACCAGAAUUCUGACAGCAAUGAUUCUUUGGAGUCCACUGGGCCCAGAGAUCAAACUAUAGAAAAAUCUCCAGGGGCCAUCUAACCUGGAGCUGAAAGAUUCAGCCCAAGGGUAAAGUGACAAUGAAUACAUGGUUUUCUGGAAAUAAAAUUGAACAACGAUAAAUGCAUUCAGUGCCUGUAUUAUGGACGACCCUUCUUCAUGAAGAAGUUACUGAAAUCAUUGGUCACGUGUGGCUCAGGAAACACCGUCCUAUCCAGGUUAGAUCUGCUUCUUUAUUAGUCACCUGUCUCUCUUCUCUUUGUCUAGCUUUUUCCUUUUCCUUUGCCUACUUUAAAAUGCUGCUUCUUUGAUUAAAAACCUUUCAGUGUUCGUGGCAAAGGUUCAGAUUCAUUCUCUCCUCCCAGGUGAAUGUCACAUAUUUUUUAGCUCUCUGGGCACGUAAUCCUGAAAUCUGGUAAGGUUCUUCUCCUUCGAAAUGAAGGCUGCUCUGUCCACUGCUGGGGAAUAUUGCCUGUG